AUGAGCUUGUCUCUAUCCCAGCGUUUAGUAUAGUGCCUGGCACAUAGUACGCGCUUAACAAAUACCAUUCCAAUAAAUACUGUAUAUCUAAGUAGUCUUAGAUCGUGAGUACUCCAAGGAACAGAGACCAUGUCUACCUCCCACCUAUGUAUUAUUUCCCAGUGCUUGGUACAGCGCUCUGCACACUGUAAGCACUUGAUAAAUACUCUCACUGCUACUACUUCAGCUGUGGGACUGGUUCUGGUCUAAAUGCGAUUAAGCUCAGAGUUUGUUUCGGUAAUGUGCAUUUUACGUCCACCUUAGGACUCUUUGGUGUUUUUUUUCUGAAGGGACGUCAGGGAGAACCAUGGAGUUGCAAAUAAAUGUUAGUUCCCUAGGCAAGCAAACCCCAAGGCUAAGAAAUUAUGGACGUUGCUCUGCCCUCCCUUAAUAGCUGUGCAGAAUCGCCCCUCCCACCCUCCACCCCCAUCUCUCCUCUCCCCAACUCUUAAGUUUAGGACCCGGUGGUAUUGAGGAAUCUCCCCUCCCUCACCACCCCCGCCAUACCAGAUGCUUGGAACUGGAAGUUACGGUGUCAGGAUUCUUUUGUGUAAAAAUUCAACAAACCAAAUGUGUUAUUCUGAGCUGCAGUUUCCAUUUUCAGUUAGAUUAACUGUCACAAAGGAAGCUUCAGUUGGACGAUUUUAGCUCUCGAUUUCCUCCUUAUUAGUAGAAUGGACUAGAUCAUUUAAAAAACGUAUUCGUUUUUUUCCCAUAGUGUAAGCUACCCUGGGUUAAGGGAUUGGGAAAUACCACUAUUAAUUAUGCAUUCAUAUGGGGCGGUUUAUAUUGCAGAGGAUCAUAAAGUGUAUAUGUAUUUGUAUGUACUGUGAAACUGAGUAAAUGCAAAAAAAAAAAAUGUUGGGGAAAUGGUGAACAGUAUCUAAACCUCUCUGAGCCUUCAAACUCCAUCUGAUAUCACACCUACCUCACAGGGAUUACAUGAGGAAUCAUUUUCAUGUAUUAAAAUGAGAUUAUUAGAUGAAAUGUAACUGUUAUGCAUUAUCGCUACCAUUUUACCUGACCCCCAGAAUUUUAUUCUUUGGUGGCUGCCUGUACCUUUCAGACGUGAAUUUUCCUGACUGUUUUCUCUCUUUGAAAAUGGCCUUGGCUCCCGUUCACAGGGAGAGAUUCUGUCCUGUGUCAACGGGAAAAUCGUAAAAUACAGAACGGUAUUUUCCCCACCCUGCCGGCGGCAGCAAGGAGGGGUUUGUUUGAGCCCCAGCCUGGGGAUGCAAAGUGUCUGACGUGAUGACCGGGGUUGCAACUGAAAAUUGUUUUCUUCACCUUAAUCUCUCUGCUCUGCUGCGGCCUGGAAGUUUUUGCUGCGGGCUGUGAUACCUACUGGAGAGGGAGGGGAGGGAAAGUCUAAGUCUGUUGACCAGACACCAUUUAUAAGUCAAAAUCAGCCAAUUUCAUCCAGGAGCAAUACUCCGCUCCCCAAAACAGAGCUAAACCCCGUCUGCUCGGCAAAGCUCCUUGCGGCCUGGCUCCACUCCGAUCAGUUGUUUGGUGUCUUCCUAACUCCCUCCCUCUCCCCCCUCACCCAAACAUCCUCUCCCUUGGGUGGCCCAUUCCCUCCUUGAGGGUGGAUCAGUCUGGGUUGUGCUGUAGAGAAACCCGAUGGACCAGCCAACCCUCGUUCUCUGAUUUCGGAUCAAGGAGAGAAACGCCAUAGUCUCCAAUGGCCCUAGACUCUCAUUUUGCCCAGGUAUUCCCUACGCAGAUUGACUCAGCUUGGUGGCAGCUUCGUUCGGACCUCCGCCCUGAGGACUUCCUCCUUCAUCCCUUUUUAAUUCUUCCACAUGCAUAUACCUCAAAGGAAUUCAAGACUGACAAUUCAGGGAUGAAUUUAGAAGCGGAACAAAGUAGUUGUCCAUUUGUGAGAAACGAGACGCACUCCCUUUCCUUCAAAAGAAGAACGCCCUCCAAUUAAGGCAUGGCGGAUUCUUGGUUGCCUCUGCUAAUCUUUUCUCGUGGAGCUAAUUCGCUGAUUAUCCUACCUUCCCUGCCCACCGCUGCUCCCAAAGAGUGUAGUGAAGAAAUCUGAGACACGUUGGCUGAGGGGAGAAACCAUCCAAACCAUUUUUCUUCUCAACUUGAGCUAAAACUUGGCCGAAGUCCUCGAGGAACAGAGCUGCCGGUUUGCAGAGACAAGUAGUGCUGGUAGAGUGUAAAUUGAUGCAUUCCUCAUCAAUACAAGAGCCGGUUUGUUAGAAAGGAUGGUGCACACCAGUGACUUUGGUGGACUCUAAUUAGCUUCACCACAAGCUCAGCAAGGCCAUCAUCAGCUGUUCCGGGGCUGCAGAGUCUUUUAGCUCAUCUUUCUCAUCUUUUCCCUCAAGAAAUCAGCUACCUAAGCGCUGAUUGUGCAUGUCUGCCCUGAGGAAUUGGAGCCGUGUUGGAUGGAAACUUGGUGGGGAGAAAAUCCAUCCAGAGCCCUUUUCUUCUCAACUUGAGCUAAAGCUUGGUCGUAAUCCUCGAGGAGCAGAACUGCCCGGGUUCAGAGACCAGUAGUUCUGGCAAAGUGCAAAUUGAGGCAUUCCUCAUCGGUACAAGAGCCGGCUCGUUAGGAGAGAGGGGGUCUGAGGAAGAAGCAUGUCCAUCAGGGACCUUUGGUGGACUCUAAUUAGCUUCACCGUGAGCUCAGCAAGGCCAUCACCAGCUCUUCUGGGGACUACAGAGCCUUUUAGCUCAUCUUCCUCAUCUUUUCACUCCCAAGGUUCUUUAGAAAUCAGCUACCUAGGAGCUGAUGGUGCAUGUCUACCCUAAUAUAUACACAGAGGUUCCUCGCUUCUUUCUAAGCCAUCCUAUAUGUUUGCUUAAAUUUGCUCUGUCCUAGACUAUCUCUUUGGGGCAUUCAGGACGUACAGUAGAGUCAAACCUUACUGAGGACUAGGAGAGGCUGUCUUUCAUUCCGAUUAUUCCAUGAAUAAUCCCAACGGCACAGCGUGUCAUCCUAAAAAACAGUUUUCUUUUUUUUUCUAGUAAGCAAGCUCACUUUUUCAGUCAGAAAGCAAGCAGCUGACCACACUCGCAAGAUUUAGAGAGCAGAUUACUAGAAGCGCCCAGAUUCAAAGUCACUUUGACCUUGAGCCGAGGUUUUGGCUUGCAGAGUGAACAUAGUGUAUGUUACUGAGGCUGCACCGUAUUAGAGAAGAACAGAUGGGACUUAGCCUCCAUCUGGCAGCUAAGCGUGUCAAUGACAAAGCUACGCCCUCCAACACAGGAAGCCCAGUUUUGGCAAGAACUGGAGCUCCCUAGCAGCUCAGAUACUAUGGGAGAGAGGGUGACUCUUCUUAGAUCCAGUAGGAGGGUAUCAAUCAGUGGUAUUUAUUGAGCAAUUAAUCAAGGUGGAUGAUUUGCGCAGAUUCUUAGAGCACGGCUACAACUCCAACUUCAGGAAAGACCUGAUGUCUGGAGCUUUCCCAGGAGGGAGGGAUGGGAAAAUGGCUCCAUCGAAUGAACUACUAGAGUUCUGUCUUCCUUCUAGGAGGCGGAGAGGGCCACCACCCAAAGCCGACAAGUUAUUCCUUCCUGGGGCCUUUUAAUGACAGACCCGGGUCACUGAGCGGAUACCAAACCUCUCAAUUCACACGUGAGAAUUCCACAAAUGAAUUCUCAUCCUCAUCCGACCCAAAGCAGUUGGUUGAAAUUCAGGUCAAAUUCAGCACUCCCCACCCCACCGUCUUUUCCUCUUCGGGGUCCUCUAAAAGACCGCCUGCUCUCGGUCACUGCUAACUAUGCACGAAAUCUUUGGGGGUGACGGCAGGGAGAGGGGAAUCAUUUCCCGUAGUAGUACUAGCAACCUUUAAGGGGGAUUUUUUUAAAAAAAUUCUGGAGAAGAAAAAUGACACCAUGUCAUCAUAUCUUAAGGGAUGAAAGGGAAGAUUCUAUGCAUUUGAAUUCAUAUUCACUUCAGGAUGGAUUGUACCCGAAAUAAUACACGUAGUCAGGUGCAAUUUUGGUAGUUAGCAGAGAUUCUGGUAGAGAGAGACGGAGCGAGGCUUUUUCGAGGACACAGACACCUGCAAGCAAUGUGUCAGCCAGUCUCUUGACAAUCAGAUCGUUCAAGUCCUUGUGAAAUGUAGCUUGACAGCGACGGAACUUCUUGGUCCACAUGUUUUGAUGUGAGUAUAAUGCGGUAGUGAAAUUAUGUGGUAUAUACCAAUAGGCUAAUAGCGUCUACCUGUAAGUUUGGGUUUGCUAAUGUAAUACAUUUCAAUAAAAAGCUAUUCAAAAUGUUA
This is a long non-coding RNA of Tachyglossus aculeatus (Australian echidna), 4286 nucleotides long. RefSeq lists it as uncharacterized. The transcript has 2 exons. The record is from RefSeq and is a predicted model, not a curated record. NCBI's taxonomy places the organism in Eukaryota, Metazoa, Chordata, Mammalia, Monotremata, Tachyglossidae.